This is a long non-coding RNA of Trichomycterus rosablanca, 1650 nucleotides long. RefSeq lists it as uncharacterized. NCBI's taxonomy places the organism in Eukaryota, Metazoa, Chordata, Actinopteri, Siluriformes, Trichomycteridae. The record is from RefSeq and is a predicted model, not a curated record. The transcript is spliced from 3 exons.
CAUGCAGUGGCACCAUAGUGACAAUCUGUAGCUCCUGUAUUGCAGGACAAGCAAAGUCCUGCAGCCGAACUACUGAUGUUAGUUGUAAGCUGCAGACCUUCUGGAUGUUGGUUAGCUCCUCCUCCAGCAGAGGGCACACUAGGAACUGGCUCACUUUCUGCACAGACCUUGUCAUAUCCAAAUCCACCACUGUCUUACUUCUCCACCCAUGCAGACUUCCACCCUGACCAAGGAGAGCCACAGACAAUCACAUUUAUCACCCUAUUUAAUGCACAGUCACCGACCACUUCUAUUCACCUACCAGAGAUGGAGUCUUACUAAGAGCAUACCAAGAGUCAUGCACUACUACUAUAUAUCCAACAUCUCUCAUGCAGGUGUCUCAACCAGCCAGCAGAGGCACACAACUACAGCAGCAGUGAGGAAUCUGUUCAGCCAUCACCCCCUCUGAGCCAAUCUUAUCUGCGUGGGUGCCCAUCUGGUCGAUACCACAGCUGAGAUUCAAGCAUGAGGUCUUAGUAAUGGUGUACAAGUGCAUUAGACCACUGCACUACAGCAAUGUUACUGUUACUAAAGAAGGUUUUUUGUUAUUAAAAACAGAAAGUUCUAAAAAGUUCAUAAACUUUUUAUACAACUGCAUGUUACAUGGUAAAAAGUGCAGCCACUUACAGAUAAAUAUUCUGAAGUAAAAGCAAUUAAGGAAAUAUUGAUCUUUAUCAUUUAAUGGAAAGGAAGCUCUGCGGUUAGAGAUAAGCAAUGUUUGCUCUGUGAGCCACUUUGCACUGUAAGAAAGUAAAGAUCAAGCAAUUAUCAUGUUAAACUCCUAUGUUCAGUUUUAUUGACACUGUUCCUAUAAUGACUUUACUUUGCUUUGUCAGGUAAGAAAGUCUAUAGCUGCGUCCGGAAUCGCAUACUUAGAGAGUACGUACUAGAUUGGAGGAAGUAUGCACUACUCUGCCGGUAAAAAAGUACAUACUUCCAGUACAGAAGUAUGCAGUAUGCACACAACACUGCUACGCACUACAUCCGCCAUCUUUCCAACGUCAAGUGAUGACGUGGGACGUAAUAUCACCAUGGUUACAGACUCAUUACAAACCCCACUCGCCAAACUUUUGGAUAUUUAUCGUGUUUUUGUUAUUUAUUCGUCUUUAAAACGUUUUAUUUUAUUUAUCUUACUUACACUUGUAAACAGAGGACCGCUAUCUUUCUUGUUUCUUAUUCCGCUUCGAACGCCUACGCAGCUCCAGUUGCAUUAUGGGAUACAUUAACGGACCGCAAGUGUGCAUCGCUUGCAUACUCAAACAUGGCUGCCCAAUAAGUAGGUCAUCCGGGUACUUCUCGCGUACCUCUUUGUGUAUACUAUGUAUUCGGACAUACUAACCGCUCUCGCGUCCUCAUUUCGCGUACUAUUGAGUAUGGAAGUAUGCGAUUCCGGACGCAGCUUGCAUGUACUUAAACACAGUUUUAUUGAUUUAGACAGCAAAAAAAAAACAAUGAUUUGCACAAAACACCCUUUAGCUAUAUUAAACAUGAGGUGGGUAGUAAUAUGCUACAUUCACUCUGCUGUAUUUAAUUUAGUUUAGUCAUAAGCAAAGGUUUGAACACCCCGAGGUAAAUUCCAUGUUCCGUGUCUUUUCUGAACCAAAAAAUAAU